This 250-nucleotide long non-coding RNA is filed under the name Diabrotica virgifera virgifera (western corn rootworm). RNAcentral's name for it is "uncharacterized LOC126878843". The record is from RNAcentral. Lineage: Eukaryota; Metazoa; Arthropoda; Insecta; Coleoptera; Chrysomelidae.
CAGUUUAUUCCAAUAGACAAGUGUGUCAUCAACAUUUCGGGCCUAUAUAUUUUUGGAAGUUUGUAAAAGAUUAUAAGGUAAUAUUUAUCUAAACAAUCAUCCUAUGUACAAGAUUCUUUCAAAAAUUUUCAUUCAACUCGAUACACAUCAGUGCUUUCACGUGACACAUAGCAGUAGUGUUUAGCAUUUUGAAAACACAUUGGAAUAUUUGAAGUUUUCAGUAAAAUAUGGAAUAAAACAUUGAAUUGUC